UGAGUAACACGUUGGUAAUCUACCUUUUGCUGGGGCAUAGCCAGAAGAAAUUCUGAUUAACUCCCCAUAAUAUAAAGUUUUCUGCAUGGAAUCUUUAUUAAAACUUAUGCGGCAAGAGAUGAGCCUGCGUCUGAUAGUUAGUUGGUGAGGUAAUGGCUCUACCAAGACGAUGAUCAGUAGGGGGCCUUAGAGGGUGAACCUCCACACUGGAACUGAGACACGGACCAGACUUCUACGGGAGGCAGCAGUGAGGAAUAUUGGUCAAUGGAGGAAACUCUGAACCAGCUACGCCGCGUGUAGGAUGACUGCCUUAUUGGUUGUAAACUACUUUUGUAUAGAAAUAAAACUUCCUACGUGAUAGGAACCUGAAGGUACUAUACGAAUAAGUGUCGGCUAAUUCCGUGCCAGCAGCCGCGGUAAUACGGAAGACACAAGCGUUAUCCAGAUUUAUUGGGUUUAAAGGGUGUGUAGGCUGUUUAUUAAGUCCGUAGUGAAAGCUUACAGCUUAACUGUAAAAUUGCUAUUGAUACUGGUAAACUGGAGUAAGAUUGGAGCAUCUGGAAUGUAUGGUGUAGCGGUGAAAUGCAUAGAUAUCAUACAGAACACCAAUAGCGAAGGCAGGAUACUAAAUCUUUACUGACGCUGAGGCACGAAAGCGUGGGUAGCAAACAGGAUUAGAUACCCUGGUAGUCCACGCCCUAAACGAUGAUCACUAGCUAUUGGAAAAACUAUAUUCAGUGGCUAAGCGAAAGCGAUAAGUGAUCCACCUGGGGAAUAUAAUCGCAAGAUUGAAACUCAAAGGAAUUGACGGGGUUCCGCACAAGCGGUGGAGCAUGUGGUUUAAUUCGAUGAUACGCGAGGAACCUUACCAAGGCUUAAAUGUAUUACGAAUAAGCUGGAAACAGUUUAGUCUAUAUGACGGAAUACAAGGUGCUGCAUGGUUGUCUUCAGUUCGUGCUGUGAAGUGUUUGGUUAAGUCCUAUAACGAGCGCAACCCCUAUUGUUAGUUGCCAUCAGGUAAUGCUGGGGACUCUAACAAAACUGCCGGUGUAAACCGUGAGGAAGGUGGGGAUAAUGUCAAAUCAUCAUGGCCUUUAUGCCUUGGGCUACACACGUGCUACAAUGGCUGGUACAAAGGCAGCCACUGGGUGACCAGGAGCUAAUCUCUAAAACCAGUCUCAGUUCGGAUUGGAGUCUGCAAUUCGACUCUAUGAAGCUGGAAUCGCUAGUAAUCGCGCAUCAGCAAUGGCG
This 1251-nucleotide ribosomal RNA is filed under the name Flavobacteriales endosymbiont of Dactylaspis sp. GEM-2005b D296. RNAcentral's name for it is "bacterial SSU rRNA". It matches the Rfam family "Bacterial small subunit ribosomal RNA", at positions 107 to 1359 of the family's 1533-position model. Lineage: Bacteria; Pseudomonadati; Bacteroidota; Flavobacteriia; Flavobacteriales. The record is from RNAcentral.